This 226-nucleotide unclassified non-coding RNA is filed under the name Hevea brasiliensis (rubber tree). The record is from RNAcentral. Lineage: Eukaryota; Viridiplantae; Streptophyta; Magnoliopsida; Malpighiales; Euphorbiaceae.
UUUUUUUUUUUUUUUGGUCCAAGUAUUAUCAACUUAACAAACAAGGUACAGGUGCAGCAAUUCUGAAGAGAUUAGAAAUGAUUUGAUGAUGAAAAAUUGUUUAAAAUGCGAUAUGGGUCAGUAGUUGACCCAUCUUACAUUUUAUUUGUGAAUUUAACAGAGCGUUUGUAAGCUUAUAUAUUGUUUUUCUGGGUUGAGAAUUGUUACUAGGUAAUUUUCACUGUAG